This 867-nucleotide long non-coding RNA is filed under the name Triticum aestivum (bread wheat). RNAcentral describes it as "long non-coding RNA (TAES_LNC006129)". Lineage: Eukaryota; Viridiplantae; Streptophyta; Magnoliopsida; Poales; Poaceae. The record is from RNAcentral.
UACUCUGCUGCUAUCCUGGAGUACCUGACAGCUGAGGUUCUGGAGCUGGCUGGGAACGCCAGCAAGGAUCUCAAGGUCAAGCGUAUCACCCCUCGUCACCUCCAACUGGCCAUCCGUGGAGACGAGGAGCUCGACACCCUCAUCAAGGGCACCAUUGCUGGUGGAGGUGUGAUCCCGCACAUCCACAAGUCCCUGAUCAACAAGUCCUCCAAAGAGUGAACAGAAAAAAUAGCAAAGGAGCAUCUCUAGCUUGAACUGGACAUUUUCUCAGUCGUCUGUCAGAUAAGUUUAUCGUCGUGUCAUUUAGUGUUUAGCUGUGCUCCUUCCAGAUCGAAGUCGUUGUCUGUCUGUGUAAUGUUUACCUGGUACUGAUUCAGUCAUUUGGACAUGGUGUUUAUGUUCGUUCGUUGACUCUGUGAUUGGACUCUGAAUGCAAAAACCUUUUAAACAUGUUCUGAGUAUUUGUUGUUUGUCUCCAUCAGCGUCCUCUGGUAGCUGUUUUUGUUCUGGUUUUUUCUUGAGUUGGUUUUUGUUAUCGGUUUUUUCAAGUUGGUUUUUAUUCUUGUUUUGUCAGUAUAGCCCAGUGGAAGGGGCUCAAGUCUAGAGCAGACAAAUUAGGGAUGCAAAUCUGUGACCCUGGAGGGUACCCAUUUGGGCCCUUAAUUCUAGGCUGCAGAUAUUUAUUUUGUCGGUCUACAACCGUUGAAUGAUUGAUUCUGCUGCAGCAGUGUGCUGCUGUGUGUUCAGUAUGCAUGGCUGAUCCUAACCAGAUGCAGUAAUCAUCGGUGACGCACAAGUGCUGUUCGCUUGAGUAGCUCUUGGGUGACUAGACAAGACCCAUACUUAAACAAUUUAUUUACAUUGUUG